Molecule: non-coding RNA, 95 nt
Organism: Leucoagaricus sp. SymC.cos
Lineage: Eukaryota; Fungi; Basidiomycota; Agaricomycetes; Agaricales; Agaricaceae
Source: Rfam
GCCCGCCUAGCUCAAUCGGAUAGAGCGUCAGACUCUUAAUCUGCGUGGGCGGUUGCGAAAUCUGAAGGUUGCGAGUUCGACCCUCGCGGUGGGCU